Molecule: transfer RNA, 66 nt
Filed under: Hydrophilidae sp. BMNH 1274306
Lineage: Eukaryota; Metazoa; Arthropoda; Insecta; Coleoptera; Hydrophilidae
Description: tRNA-Gly
Source: RNAcentral
ACUUAUAUAAUAUAAAUAUUAUAUUUAACUUCCAAUUAAAAAAUCUAAUUAAAUUUAGUAUAAGUA